AUGCACGCUGGCGGCGUGCCUAAUACCUGCAAGUCGAGCAAACGGACGAGAAGCUUGCUUCUCUGAUGUUAGCGGCGGACGGGUGAGUAACACGUGGAUAACCUACCUAUAAGACUGGGAUAACUUCGGGAAACCGGAGCUAAUACCGGAUAAUAUUUUGAACCGCAUGGUUCAAAAGUGAAAGACGGUCUUGCUGUCACUUAUAGAUGGAUCCGCGCUGCAUUAGCUAGUUGGUAAGGUAACGGCUUACCAAGGCAACGAUGCAUAGCCGACCUGAGAGGGUGAUCGGCCACACUGGAACUGAGACACGGUCCAGACUCCUACGGGAGGCAGCAGUAGGGAAUCUUCCGCAAUGGGCGAAAGCCUGACGGAGCAACGCCGCGUGAGUGAUGAAGGUCUUCGGAUCGUAAAACUCUGUUAUUAGGGAAGAACAUAUGUGUAAGUAACUGUGCACAUCUUGACGGUACCUAAUCAGAAAGCCACGGCUAACUACGUG
RNAcentral lists this ribosomal RNA (496 nucleotides) under uncultured bacterium. RNAcentral describes it as "partial 16S ribosomal RNA". It matches the Rfam family "Bacterial small subunit ribosomal RNA", at positions 29 to 507 of the family's 1533-position model. The record is from RNAcentral.